Molecule: non-coding RNA, 772 nt
Filed under: Danaus genutia (orange tiger)
Lineage: Eukaryota; Metazoa; Arthropoda; Insecta; Lepidoptera; Nymphalidae
Source: RNAcentral
AUAAAUAAUUAUAUUUAAGAAAAUUUAUUAAAAGUUUAUUUUAUAUAUAAAUUUUAGUGUUAAUUUUUUAUUAUUUUAAUAAUAAUAAUAGUAAAUUAUAUAGUAAAUAAAAUUAAAAAUUUAAGAAAUUAAGAUUUAGUAAUAUAAAAAUUAAUAACAAAUUUUGUGCCAGCAGUGCGGUUAUACAAAAAUUAAAUUAAAUUAUUUCAGUUUAUAAAAAAUAAAUUUUUUUAAAAUAAAUAUUAAAUUAUUAGGUGAAAUUUUAAUUUAAUUAAAUUUUAUAUGAGAAUUAUGUUUUAGUAAAUUUUAUUAUAAACUAGGAUUAGAUACCCUAUUAUUAAAAAUUUAAAUUAUAAUACUAAAAUAGUAAAUAAUUAUUUAUUGAAACUUAAAUAAUAUGGCGGUAUUUUAGUUCAUUUAGAGGAAUCUGUUUAAUAAUUGAUAAUCCACGAAUAAAUUUACUUAAUUUAAAAUUUUAUAUAUCGUUGUUAAAAAAAUAUUUUUUAUUAAUUUAUAAUAUUUGAAAAUUAUAAUAAAAAAUUAAUUCAGAUCAAGAUGUAGAUUAUAAUUAAGAAUAUAAUGGAUUACAAUAAAUUUAUUUAAAUGAAUAUAAAAUUGAAAAAUUUUAUUGAAGGUGGAUUUAAAUGUAAUUUUAUUUAAUUUCUUAAAAUGAUUAAAAAUUAAAAUAUGUACAUAUUGCCCGUCACUUUCAUUUAAAAAUUGGAAUAAGUCGUAACAAAGUAGAGGUACUGGAAAGUGUUUCUAGAAAGAU